Molecule: ribosomal RNA, 760 nt
Filed under: marine metagenome
Description: bacterial SSU rRNA
Rfam family: Bacterial small subunit ribosomal RNA
Source: RNAcentral
AGAGUUUGAUCAUGGCUCAGAACGUACGCUGGCGGCACGCCUAACACAUGCAAGUCGAACGAAGUAGCAAUACUUAGUGGCAGACGGGUGAGUAACAUGUGGGUAUCUACCCUUUGGCCUGGAAUAACACGAGGAAACUUGUGCUAAUACCGGAUAAGUCUUUACGGAGAAAGCUUUAUGCACCAUUGGAUGAGCCCGCACUUGAUUAGUUUGUUGGUAGGGUAAUGGCCUACCAAGACUAUGAUCAAUAGCUGAUUUGAGAGGAUGAUCAGCCACAUUGGGACUGAGACACGGCCCAAACUCCUACGGGAGGCAGCAGUGGGGAAUCUUGCACAAUGGAGGAAACUCUGAUGCAGCGAUGCCGCGUGAGUGAAGAAGGCCCUUGGGUUGUAAAGCUCUUUCGUCGGGGAAGAAAAUGACUGUACCCGAAUAAGAAGGUCCGGCUAACUUCGUGCCAGCAGCCGCGGUAAUACGAAGGGACCUAGCGUAGUUCGGAAUUACUGGGCUUAAAGAGUUCGUAGGUGGUUGAAAAAGUUAGUGGUGAAAUCCCAGAGCUUAACUCUGGAACUGCCAUUAAAACUUUUCAGCUAGAGUAUGAUAGAGGAAAGCAGAAUUUCUAGUGUAGAGGUGAAAUUCGUAGAUAUUAGAAAGAAUACCAAUUGCGAAGGCAGCUUUCUGGAUCAUUACUGACACUGAGGAACGAAAGCAUGGGUAGCGAAGAGGAUUAGAUACCCUCGUAGUCCAUGCCGUAAACGAUGUG